GACGAACGCUGGCGGCGUGCUUAACACAUGCAAGUCGAACGGAAAGGCCUGCUUUCCCUUGUGGAUUGCGGGUACUCGAGUGGCGAACGGGUGAGUAACACGUGAGUGAUCUGCCCCCAACUUUGGUAUAAGCCUGGGAAACUGGGUCUAAUUCCCGAUAGGACUGCAGGGUGGUGCCUGUGGUGGAAAACGAUUUUCUAGUGGUUGGGGAUGAGCUCGCGGCCUAUCAGCUUGUUGGUGGGGUAAUGGCCUACCAAUGCGGCGACGGGUAGCCGGCCUGGGAUGGUGGACGGGCACAUUGGGACUGAGAUACGGCCCAGACUCCUACGGGAGGCAGCAGUGGGGAAUAUUGCACAAUGGGCGGAAGCCUGAUGCAGCGACGCCGCGUGGGGGAUGACGGCCUUCGGGUUGUAAACUCCUUUCGACCGCGAGGAAGCCACCUGGUUGGAAGGGUGGUGACGGUAGUGGUAGAAGAAGCACCGGCUAACUACGUG
Molecule: ribosomal RNA, 494 nt
Filed under: uncultured bacterium
Lineage: Bacteria
Description: partial 16S ribosomal RNA
Rfam family: Bacterial small subunit ribosomal RNA
Source: RNAcentral